RNAcentral lists this ribosomal RNA (119 nucleotides) under Bacteroidota bacterium. RNAcentral's name for it is "Bacteroidetes bacterium partial 16S ribosomal RNA". It matches the Rfam family "Bacterial small subunit ribosomal RNA", at positions 1 to 119 of the family's 1533-position model. Lineage: Bacteria; Pseudomonadati; Bacteroidota. The record is from RNAcentral.
ACAAUGGAGAGUUUGAUCCUGGCUCAGGAUUAACGCUAGCGGCAGGCCUAAUACAUGCAAGUCGAACGGUAAUCACGCUUUCGGGCGUGAACGAGUGGCGGACGGGUGCGUAACGCGUA